Molecule: ribosomal RNA, 411 nt
Filed under: uncultured bacterium
Lineage: Bacteria
Description: bacterial SSU rRNA
Rfam family: Bacterial small subunit ribosomal RNA
Source: RNAcentral
GGCGGACGGGUGAGUAACACGUGGGCAACCUGCCUCAUAGAGGGGAAUAGCCUUCCGAAAGGGAGAUUAAUACCGCAUAAGAUUGUAGUACCGCAUGGUACAGCAAUUAAAGGAGCAAUCCGCUAUGAGAUGGGCCCGCGGCGCAUUAGCUAGUUGGUGAGGUAACGGCUCACCAAGGCGACGAUGCGUAGCCGACCUGAGAGGGUGAUCGGCCACAUUGGGACUGAGACACGGCCCAGACUCCUACGGGAGGCAGCAGUGGGGAAUAUUGCACAAUGGGGGAAACCCUGAUGCAGCAACGCCGCGUGAGUGAUGACGGCCUUCGGGUUGUAAAGCUCUGUCUUAAGGGACGAUAAUGACGGUACCUGAGGAGGAAGCCACGGCUAACUACGUGCCAGCAGCCGCGGUAAU